RNAcentral lists this ribosomal RNA (427 nucleotides) under Stanwellia sp. MYG421. Its description in RNAcentral is "partial 16S ribosomal RNA". It matches the Rfam family "Archaeal large subunit ribosomal RNA", at positions 1926 to 2666 of the family's 2987-position model. The record is from RNAcentral. Lineage: Eukaryota; Metazoa; Arthropoda; Arachnida; Araneae; Nemesiidae.
UGAUUGAAAUAAUAAUCAGUAAAACCUGCUCAAUGAAUUUAAAUAGCCGCAGAAAUCUGUGCUAAGGUAGCAUAAUCAAUUGCCUUUUAAUUAAAGGCUAGAAUGAAUGGUUUCACAUGUAAAUUAUUUUAUUAAAUUAAUUUCUUUGCCUUUACUUGUAAGUAAAAAGGCUUACAUUAUAAGAAGGACGACAAGACCCUAUCAAACUUUACAUUAUUGUUUCGCUGGGGUAGCGAAAAAAUAACAUCUUUAUUUUUUUUCAUUAUUUAUCUAAUUCAUUAACUUUAUCAAGUUACUGUAGGGAUAACAGCAUAAUAUUCUUUUAAAGUUCUUAUUUUUAAGGAAGAUUAUGACCUCGAUGUUGAAUUAUUUUAUCUAUUAUAGAGCAAAAUCUUAAAAAGAAAGUCUGUUCGACUUUUAAAUUUUU